This 1452-nucleotide ribosomal RNA is filed under the name uncultured organism. Its description in RNAcentral is "partial small subunit ribosomal RNA". It matches the Rfam family "Bacterial small subunit ribosomal RNA". The record is from RNAcentral.
GACGAACGCUUUUGGCGUGCUUAACACAUGCAAGUCGAACGGAAAGGCCCUGCUUUUGUGGGGUGCUCGAGUGGCGAACGGGUGAGUAACACGUGAGUAACCUGCCCUUGACUUUGGGAUAACUUCAGGAAACUGGGGCUAAUACCGGAUAGGAGCUCCUGCUGCAUGGUGGGGGUUGGAAAGUUUCGGCGGUUGGGGAUGGACUCGCGGCUUAUCAGCUUGUUGGUGGGGUAGUGGCUUACCAAGGCUUUGACGGGUAGCCGGCCUGAGAGGGUGACCGGCCACAUUGGGACUGAGAUACGGCCCAGACUCCUACGGGAGGCAGCAGUGGGGAAUAUUGCACAAUGGGCGGAAGCCUGAUGCAGCAACGCCGCGUGCGGGAUGACGGCCUUCGGGUUGUAAACCGCUUUCGCCUGUGACGAAGCGUGAGUGACGGUAAUGGGUAAAGAAGCACCGGCUAACUACGUGCCAGCAGCCGCGGUGAUACGUAGGGUGCGAGCGUUGUCCGGAUUUAUUGGGCGUAAAGGGCUCGUAGGUGGUUGAUCGCGUCGGAAGUGUAAUCUUGGGGCUUAACCCUGAGCGUGCUUUCGAUACGGGUUGACUUGAGGAAGGUAGGGGAGAAUGGAAUUCCUGGUGGAGCGGUGGAAUGCGCAGAUAUCAGGAGGAACACCAGUGGCGAAGGCGGUUCUCUGGGCCUUUCCUGACGCUGAGGAGCGAAAGCGUGGGGAGCGAACAGGCUUAGAUACCCUGGUAGUCCACGCUGUAAACGGUAGGUACUAGGUGUGGGGUCCAUUCCACGGGUUCCGUGCCGUAGCUAACGCUUUAAGUACCCCGCCUGGGGAGUACGGCCGCAAGGCUAAAACUCAAAGGAAUUGACGGGGCCCCGCACAAGCGGCGGAGCAUGCGGAUUAAUUCGAUGCAACGCGUAGAACCUUACCUGGGUUUGACAUGGAUCGGGAGUGCUCAGAGAUGGGUGUGCCUCUUUUGGGGUCGGUUCACAGGUGGUGCAUGGCUGUCGUCAGCUCGUGUCGUGAGAUGUUGGGUUAAGUCCCGCAACGAGCGCAACCCUUGUUCACUGUUGCCAGCACGUUAUGGUGGGGACUCAGUGGAGACCGCCGGGGUCAACUCGGAGGAAGGUGGGGAUGACGUCAAGUCAUCAUGCCCCUUAUGUCCAGGGCUUCACGCAUGCUACAAUGGCUGGUACAGAGAGUGGCGAGCCUGUGAGGGUGAGCGAAUCUCGGAAAGCCGGUCUCAGUUCGGAUUGGGGUCUGCAACUCGACCUCAUGAAGUCGGAGUCGCUAGUAAUCGCAGAUCAGCAACGCUGCGGUGAAUACGUUCCCGGGGCUUGUACACACCGCCCGUCAAGUCAUGAAAGUUGGUAACACCCGAAGCCGGUGGCCUAACCGUUGUGGGGGAGCCGUCGAAGGUGGGACUGGUGAUUAGGACUAAAUC